This 253-nucleotide ribosomal RNA is filed under the name uncultured bacterium. RNAcentral describes it as "partial 16S ribosomal RNA". It matches the Rfam family "Bacterial small subunit ribosomal RNA", at positions 524 to 776 of the family's 1533-position model. The record is from RNAcentral.
UACGUAGGGGGCUAGCGUUGUCCGGAAUCAUUGGGCGUAAAGCGUCCGCAGGUGGCUGUGUAAGUCUGCUGUUAAAUAGUGAGGCUCAACCUCAUAAAGGCAGUGGAAACUACACGGCUAGAGUGCGUUCGGGGCAGAGGGAAUUCCUGGUGUAGCGGUGAAAUGCGUAGAGAUCAGGAAGAACACCGGUGGCGAAAGCGCUCUGCUAGGCCGCAACUGACACUGAGGGACGAAAGCUAGGGGAGCGAAUGGG